AAUUGGAUAACUGUGGUAAUUCUAGAGCUAAUACAUGCAAAUCGAGUCCCGACCAGAAAUGGAAGGGAUGCUUUUAUUAGAUCAAAACCAAUCGGGCCGGCUCGUCCGGUCUGUUUGCUUUGGUGACUCUGGAUAACUUUUGCGGAUCGCACGGUCCCCGCGCCGGCGACGCAUCUUUCAAAUGUCUGCCUUAUCAACUGUCGAUGGUAGGCUCUGAGCCUACCAUGGUUGUAACGGGUAACGGGGAAUCAGGGUUCGAUUCCGGAGAGGGAGCCUGAGAAACGGCUACCACAUCCAAGGAAGGCAGCAGGCGCGCAAAUUACCCACUCCCGGCACGGGGAGGUAGUGACGAAAAAUAACGAUACGGGACUCAUCCGAGGCCCCGUAAUCGGAAUGAGUACACUUUAAACCCUUUAACGAGUAUCCAUUGGAGGGCAAGUCUGGUGCCAGCAGCCGCGGUAAUUCCAGCUCCAAUAGCGUAUAUUAAAGUUGUUGCGGUUAAAAAGCUCGUAGUUGGACUUGUGUCCCACACUGUCGGUUCACCGUUCGUCGGUGUUUAACUGGCAUGCCUGUGCGGACGUCCUGCCGGUGGAUGCGGUCGGCCGUGGGCCUCUGGUCUGCGUGUCGGCGGUCCGAUUGAAUCCUACCGCGGUGCUCUUCACCGAGUGUCGAGGUGGGCCGGCACAUUUACUUUGAACAAAUUAGAGUGCUCAAAGCAGGCAAGUGUUCGCCUGAAUAUUGUGUGCAUGGAAUAAUGGAAUAGGACCUCGGUUCUAUUUUGUUGGUCUCUGGAAUCUGAGGUAAUGAUUAAUAGGGACAGACGGGGGCAUUCGUAUUGCGACGUUAGAGGUGAAAUUCUUGGAUCGUCGCAAGACGAACCUAAGCGAAAGCAUUUGCCAUGAAUGUUUUCAUUAAUCAAGAACGAAAGUUAGAGGUUCGAAGGCGAUCAGAUACCGCCCUAGUUCUAACCAUAAACGAUGCCAGCUAGCGAUCCGCCGAUGUUUCUCCUAUGACUCGGCGGGCAGCUUCCGGGAAACCAAAGCUUUUGGGUUCCGGGGGAAGUAUGGUUGCAAAGCUGAAACUUAAAGGAAUUGACGGAAGGGCACCACCAGGAGUGGAGCCUGCGGCUUAAUUUGACUCAACACGGGAAACCUCACCAGGCCCGGACACCGGAAGGAUUGACAGAUUGAGAGCUCUUUCUUGAUUCGGUGGGUGGUGGUGCAUGGCCGUUCUUAGUUGGUGGAACGAUUUGUCUGGUUAAUUCCGAUAACGAACGAGA
This 1279-nucleotide ribosomal RNA is filed under the name Clonaria sp. SB0193. RNAcentral describes it as "SSU rRNA". It matches the Rfam family "Eukaryotic small subunit ribosomal RNA", at positions 137 to 1340 of the family's 1831-position model. Lineage: Eukaryota; Metazoa; Arthropoda; Insecta; Phasmatodea; Diapheromeridae. The record is from RNAcentral.